RNAcentral lists this ribosomal RNA (253 nucleotides) under uncultured bacterium. RNAcentral's name for it is "partial 16S ribosomal RNA". It matches the Rfam family "Bacterial small subunit ribosomal RNA", at positions 524 to 776 of the family's 1533-position model. The record is from RNAcentral.
GACAGAGGCCUCAAGCGUUAGGCGGAAUCACUGGGCUUGAAGCGUGUGUAGGCGGAUCGUUAAGUGUCUUGUGAAAUCCCACGGCUCACCCGUGGAACGGCUGGGCAUACUGGCGAUCUUGGGCCAACUAGGGGCAACUGGAACAAGCGGUGGAGCGGUGAAAUGCGUAGAUAUCGUUUGGAACGCCAAAGGUGAGAACAGGUUGCUGGGGUUGUGCCGACGCUGAGACACGAAAGCCAGGGGAGCAAACGGG